UACGGAGGGUGCGAGCGUUGUCCGGAAUCAUUGGGCGUAAAGGGCGCGUAGGUGGCGGGACAAGCGUGCGGUGAAAGCUCGGGGCUCAACCCCGAGUCGGCCGUGCGAACUGUUUUGCUUGAGCACUGUAGAGGCAGGCGGCAUUCCGGGUGUAGCGGUGUAAUGCGUAGAGAUCCGGAUGACCACCGGUGGCGAAGGCGGCCUGCUGGGCCGUAGCUGACACUGAGGCGCGACAGCGUGGGGAGCAAUCAGG
Molecule: ribosomal RNA, 253 nt
Filed under: uncultured bacterium
Lineage: Bacteria
Description: partial 16S ribosomal RNA
Rfam family: Bacterial small subunit ribosomal RNA
Source: RNAcentral